UGGGUAUAGACCCGAAACCAGGUGAUCUAUCCAUGAGCAGGUUGAAGGUUGGGUAACACUAACUGGAGGACCGAACCCACUGUCGUUGAAAAGCCAGGGGAUGACUUGUGGAUAGGGGUGAAAGGCUAAUCAAACUUGGUGAUAGCUGGUUCUCCCCGAAAGCUAUUUAGGUAGCGCCUCGGACGAAUACCAUUGGGGGUAGAGCACUGUUUCGGCUAGGGGGUCAUCCCGACUUACCAAACCGAUGCAAACUCCGAAUACCAAUGAGUACUAUCCGGGAGACAGACUGCGGGUGCUAACGUCCGUAGUCAAGAGGAAAACAAUCCAGACCGCCAGCUAAGGCCCCAAAAUUAUAGUUAAGUGGGAAACGAUGUGGGAAGGCAUAGACAGCUAGGAGGUUGGCUUAGAAGCAGCCACCCUUUAAAGAAAGCGUAAUAGCUCACUAGUCGAGUCGGCCUGCGCGGAAGAUGUAACGGGGCUAAAACUAUAUGCCGAAGCUGCGGAUGCAUAAUUUAUUAUGCGUGGUAGGGGAGCGUUCUGUAAGCCGAUGAAGGUGGAUUGAGAAGUCUGCUGGAGGUAUCAGAAGUGCGAAUGCUGACGUGAGUAACGACAAUGCGAGUGAAAAACUCGCACGCUGAAAGACCAAGGGUUCCAGUCCAACGUUAAUCGGGGCUGGGUGAGUCGACCCCUAAGGCGAGGCCGAGAGGCGUAGUCGAUGGGAAAUUGGUUAAUAUUCCAAUACUUCUGUGUAAUGCGAUGAGAGGACGGAGAAGGUUAAGUCAGCCUGGCGUUGGUUGUCCAGGUGGAAGGUUGUAGGCAUGUAUCUUAGGCAAAUCCGGGGUACUCUAUGCUGAGAACUGAUAGCAAGCUGUACUUGUACAGUGAAGUGGCUGAUACCAUGCUUCCAGGAAAAGUCUCUAAGCUUCAGUUACACAGGAAUCGUACCCGAAACCGACACAGGUGGUCAGGUCGAGUAGACCAAAGCGCUUGAGAGAACUCUGCUGAAGGAACUAGGCAAAAUGGUACCGUAACUUCGGGAGAAGGUACGCUGUUGUCUGUGAUAGGACUUGCUCCUUGAGCGGCCGACAGCCUCAGAAACCAGGCCCCUGCAACUGUUUAUUAAAAACAUAGCACUCUGCAAACACGAAAGUGGACGUAUAGGGUGUGAUGCCUGCCCGGUGCUGGAAGGUUAAUUGAUGGGGUUAGCGUAAGCGAAGCUCUUGAUCGAAGCCCC
RNAcentral lists this ribosomal RNA (1234 nucleotides) under Salmonella enterica subsp. enterica. RNAcentral describes it as "partial 23S ribosomal RNA". It matches the Rfam family "Bacterial large subunit ribosomal RNA", at positions 704 to 1921 of the family's 2925-position model. The record is from RNAcentral. Lineage: Bacteria; Pseudomonadati; Pseudomonadota; Gammaproteobacteria; Enterobacterales; Enterobacteriaceae.